CACCUUGCCGCCGCGCCGCACCUCGCUGUCGAGGAGCGCGUGCACCUGGCUGCGCUCGAUUGCGCGCGUCGUCACGAGCGGCGCGGGCGCGGGGGCCGGCGCGGGCGCCGGCGGCGCGACGCGCGCGGGCUUGCGCGGCGGCGCGGCCUCGCGGUGCGGCUUCUUCGGCGGCGCGGUCUCGGCGGGUUCGGGCGCGCUCGCGGGCUCGGGCGCCGCGAUGGGCUCGCUCGCCGGCUCGACGGGCACGGCGACGGCUUCCACGACGGGCGCGCUCGCUUGCGGCGCGCGGAACAGCGCGCAACCGGACAGCGCGAGCGUGGCGAGGACGACGGGUGCCGCGGCGGCGACGGGACGGGGAAGACGGAAGGCAGAACGCGGGAAUCCGCCGCUCAUCAAGCAAUACUCCAUGGACGGGGGCGAGCCGGGUGGGCGCGCCGCUGGCGAUGAUGGCUGACGCCCGAAGGGCAUCGCGGGAGGACAGAGUUUAACCUGUGAGGAAUGCAUGCCGUGAAACGGCGCCGCGCGACGGGGGCAGGCGGGCGUUCGAAUCGACGGCGCGCCCGUGCGAGGCGGCAAUGAAAGCGGAGGGCCGGGUGGCGAUGGAUCGGCGCGGGCGGAUGGGACGGGGCGUCGGGCGAGUCGUUUGGUGCUUUUGGUUUUCUUGUGCUGCUGGUUCUCGUUUGGUCGCCCGUCGCUCGUCGCUCGUCACUUGUCGGCUUGUCCGCUUGCCGCUUGCCGGUUGCCGUCUUUCAUCGGCCGAUUCGGUUGCGGACGGCGGUUGCCGCCGUAACUGCAGCGCGGCGCGGCCGCCGCCACCGUCACUGCGGCCAGAUUCGCCAUCGGGCGGGACAAGAGCGCCGCGUCGAUCGUCGCGCGGCAACGAAAAACCGUGGGAGUCAGGCGCAGGUGCCGAGGGGCCGGCGCCGAACGUCGAAUGCCCGGCAUCGGGCGCGGGGCGUUAGCGCCCGGCGUCGCGAGCCCCGCGCUCGGCGCCAGGAACCCGGCGCUCAGCGUCCGGGAGUCGGGACAUCAGCCGCCAUUCUCCAAGCGUGCCGGGCCGGCUCGGUUUGUCCGUCUACACCGUCUCCGGAAUCGGAUUCCUGAAGCUCACGUUCAGCAGAUUCCAAGCAUUGAUCGUUGCGAUCGCGAAGCCGAGUUCGGCGAUUUCCGCGUCGGAAAAAUGUGCCUGCAACUGCGCGAACGCUUCGUCGCUCGGGUCCGUGUGCGGAAUCCGCGCGACGCUUUCCGCCCAUUGCAGCGCGGCGCGCUCGCGGGCGUCGAAGAAGGGCGCCUCGCGCCAGCCGGCGACCGCGUUCAGAUGCCGC
Molecule: ribosomal RNA, 1325 nt
Filed under: Burkholderia mallei 2002721280
Lineage: Bacteria; Pseudomonadati; Pseudomonadota; Betaproteobacteria; Burkholderiales; Burkholderiaceae
Description: 16S ribosomal RNA
Source: RNAcentral